RNAcentral lists this long non-coding RNA (1868 nucleotides) under Zea mays. RNAcentral's name for it is "long non-coding RNA (ZMAY_LNC000123)". The record is from RNAcentral. Lineage: Eukaryota; Viridiplantae; Streptophyta; Magnoliopsida; Poales; Poaceae.
AGAUUUCCCCAAACCCGUAACAACCUGGGCGGCUUGCUGGGACCGACUGCUCCUCUGCGCGGAUCUAUUUAGCCGAGCCCUCAUCCAUGUUGCGCUGGCGUGAUAGCCGUGAGGGAAUACACGACCGUGUGAGCUGUGCCAUAGCCCUUGUGUGUCCACCAUUGUCGUGACCUUGUUAUCAAGUCGAGAAGCGCUGCCAGUUCGCAAGUGAGAAUGUGGCAACCUCGCUGCGCAGGACAAGCGACCAAGGGCGGGGAGUUUUCACUGGAGGAAGACCAUCGUUGCGGCUUCACUGCUCGCAUGGCCAGGGGCACUUCUUCUCCAAUCCACGGUAAUUAGCUCCUCCCAGAGUUCAUUGUGUCCUUAGGAUCGUUUUGCACCGAGUCAUAUGGACAAUCGUGCGCCGGGGAUCGAGCGCCUAUGUCGCCGGCGUACGCUUCGUCGUAAGCCGAGGCGGCGCCGCCGUUCUUUUCGACCCAGUGAGGAAGAAUGCUGCACGCCGUCGGAUCUGUUGUCGACGGCCGUGAUUAGUGGCAGGUUACCGAUUCGGGGGGUGAAUAGCGACUGUUGGAUCUUCAAGCGAAGAUGGCUGAGAUGAUAGGGGUUAAUAGAAUCGGGUCCGUCGGUUUUAAGCGGAUGGCUGAGAUGAACCGACACCAUUUCAGCUUGACCAACGUCUAAUCUAGGUCGUAGAUUCAAAUUGGACGGCUCAGCCAGCCCCGUACCCCUUCGACCAGUCAGAAUUAUAAAAGAGACCCUGAGUUUUUAUAAAAUAAACCCGUCGUCCAUAUUCGUUAGGAAGUAAUUGCAACCGAGUCCUGAAAUUCAUGAACUGAACCCGAGCUUUUUGGGAUUCCUGCGUGCGAUCCAGGGAUGAAAUAAAUUGAGUAAAUUAAUAUAUAAAAUGAUUUCUAGUAUAAAAAUAAUUUCAGAAACUUGUUUAAUUCAUAUUUAAUUCAUUUUAACUCCUUUUUAUCCAUUCCAGUUGCAUUAGAUUCAUAUUAAUAUUGUUUAUCAUGUAGUAACCUUAUAUUGUUAUGAAAUAUAGGUUAGAAUUAUACAAUUAAUUUGUUUUAUAUCUAACACCUAAAUCUUUGGUAAAUCAUAAUUCUUUAGCUGUAAAUCCGAACUCAGUGGUUCUCGAACCUAGGAUCUUGUUACGAUGCGUAGAACAUUAUUAUGCAGUUUGUUCUUAUGUUUGGUGUGAUGUUAAUUUUGCCUAUAGAAGACCAAGUUGGUACCUGGGAACCUCGAGUCUAAGGCAAGUUAUGCAUUUGAUCAUUUUUUCUACCUAAUAAUGUUUCCAUUAAUCACUGUGACAUGCUCAGGUUAAAUUGAUGGGACCUAAUAGGUUUCCCUAGCAUUGUUUAUCCCCCAUAUUGCAAACAAAUGAACUAUUGGGUAGAUUUGUUAUUGCUAUACUUGGUUUUGGGAAACUAAUGUUUUAUUAUAAUCAUGUUUUAAUUAUGUUGUUGUUUUAAUUAUUGUUCAUGAUAAGAUCAUCAUGUUAAUUGGAAUAUGGAGAACCACCCGGAAAAACAGUGCUACCACAAAGGUGGAAUGGGACGCCCUUGGCCAAGUAAUUAGGAAAACUAGGGAGAGAUUACCUUACCCGAAAGGGGCAAGCGGAGAGGCAUCACUGCUAGAGUAUAGGGAGGUCCUCGGAUUGAACUGUCUAUAAAGUUUUUUGGACGAGGGAUUCCUAUGCUUCCUUCGUCUUGAAUCCAUAGCAGGUUUUCUUGAACUAGUGGAACUUUGGAAAGUGAAAGGGAAAUGAGAUUUAACCUUUUCCUAUAAAUGAUUUUGGUGGUUGAAUGCCCAACACAAAUAAUUGGACUAACUAGUUUGCUCUAGAUUAUAUAUUCUAC